This 464-nucleotide ribosomal RNA is filed under the name uncultured bacterium. RNAcentral describes it as "partial 16S ribosomal RNA". It matches the Rfam family "Bacterial small subunit ribosomal RNA", at positions 339 to 795 of the family's 1533-position model. The record is from RNAcentral.
CUACGGGACGCUGCAGUGAGGAAUUUUGCGCAAUGGGGGAAACCCUGACGCAGCAACGCCGCGUGAGCGAAGAAGGCCUUCGGGUCGUAAAGCUCUGUCAAGUGGGAAAAAAAGCUUUAGAUUAACAGUCUAAAGAAUUGAUGGUACCACUGGAGGAAGCACCGGCUAACUCCGUGCCAGCAGCCGCGGUAAUACGGAGGGUGCAAGCGUUGUUCGGAAUUACUGGGCGUAAAGCGCGUGCAGGCGGUUUGGCAAGUCAGAUGUGAAAGCCCUGGGCUCAACCCGGGAAGUGCAUUUGAAACUGCCUUUCUUGAGUAUGGGAGAGGAGAGUGGAAUUCCCAGUGUAGAGGUGAAAUUCGUAGAUAUUGGGAGGAACACCCGUGGCGAAGGCGACUCUCUGGACCAAUACUGACGCUGAGACGCGAAAGCGUGGGGAGCAAACAGGAUUAGAUACCCCAGUAGUC